GUGUUCGUAGAAAGGAGGGACUGAUGGCAUCGCCCCCCACAGGGACGGGAACAGCCUUCGGGCCUUCCUAAACCACGCAACGUGGUAAAAGGCUACCUGUUUUGACGGAUCUUAUCCAAUUUUUUUU
Panicum hallii is the source of this 127-nucleotide small nuclear RNA. The record is from RefSeq and is a predicted model, not a curated record. Lineage: Eukaryota; Viridiplantae; Streptophyta; Magnoliopsida; Poales; Poaceae.